RNAcentral lists this small nuclear RNA (107 nucleotides) under Schistocerca americana (American grasshopper). The record is from RNAcentral. Lineage: Eukaryota; Metazoa; Arthropoda; Insecta; Orthoptera; Acrididae.
GUACUCGCCUCGGCGGUACAUAUACUAAAAUUGGAACGAUACAGAGAAGAUUAGCAUGGCCCCUGCACAAGGAUGACACGCAAAAUCGUGAAGCGUUAAGGGGCGCC